This 468-nucleotide ribosomal RNA is filed under the name uncultured bacterium. Its description in RNAcentral is "partial 16S ribosomal RNA". It matches the Rfam family "Bacterial small subunit ribosomal RNA", at positions 28 to 507 of the family's 1533-position model. The record is from RNAcentral.
GACGAACGCUGGCGGCGUGCUUAACACAUGCCAGUCGAACGGAAAGGCCCUGCUUUUGUGGGGUGCUCGAGUGGCGAACGGGUGAGUAACACGUGAGUAACCUGCCCUUGACUUUGGGAUAACUUCAGGAAACUGGGGCUAAUACCGGAUAGGAGCUCCUGCUGCAUGGUGGGGGUUGGAAAGUUUCGGCGGCUGGGGAUGGACUCGCGGCUUAUCAGCUUGUUGGUGGGGUAGUGGCUUACCAAGGCUUUGACGGGUAGCCGGCCUGAGAGGGUGACCGGCCACAUUGGGACUGAGAUACGGCCCAGACUCCUACGGGAGGCAGCAGUGGGGAAUAUUGCACAAUGGGCGGAAGCCUGAUGCAGCAACGCCGCGUGCGGGAUGACGGCCUUCGGGUUGUAAACCGCUUUCGCCUGUGACGAAGCGUGAGUGACGGUAAUGGGUAAAGAAGCACCGGCUAACUACGUG